RNAcentral lists this ribosomal RNA (2804 nucleotides) under Escherichia coli 2-011-08_S3_C1. RNAcentral's name for it is "bacterial LSU rRNA". It matches the Rfam family "Bacterial large subunit ribosomal RNA". The record is from RNAcentral. Lineage: Bacteria; Pseudomonadati; Pseudomonadota; Gammaproteobacteria; Enterobacterales; Enterobacteriaceae.
AUAACCGGCGAUUUCCGAAUGGGGAAACCCAGUGUGUUUCGACACACUAUCAUUAACUGAAUCCAUAGGUUAAUGAGGCGAACCGGGGGAACUGAAACAUCUAAGUACCCCGAGGAAAAGAAAUCAACCGAGAUUCCCCCAGUAGCGGCGAGCGAACGGGGAGCAGCCCAGAGCCUGAAUCAGUGUGUGUGUUAGUGGAAGCGUCUGGAAAGGCGCGCGAUACAGGGUGACAGCCCCGUACACAAAAAUGCACAUGCUGUGAGCUCGAUGAGUAGGGCGGGACACGUGGUAUCCUGUCUGAAUAUGGGGGGACCAUCCUCCAAGGCUAAAUACUCCUGACUGACCGAUAGUGAACCAGUACCGUGAGGGAAAGGCGAAAAGAACCCCGGCGAGGGGAGUGAAAAAGAACCUGAAACCGUGUACGUACAAGCAGUGGGAGCACGCUUAGGCGUGUGACUGCGUACCUUUUGUAUAAUGGGUCAGCGACUUAUAUUCUGUAGCAAGGUUAACCGAAUAGGGGAGCCGAAGGGAAACCGAGUCUUAACUGGGCGUUAAGUUGCAGGGUAUAGACCCGAAACCCGGUGAUCUAGCCAUGGGCAGGUUGAAGGUUGGGUAACACUAACUGGAGGACCGAACCGACUAAUGUUGAAAAAUUAGCGGAUGACUUGUGGCUGGGGGUGAAAGGCCAAUCAAACCGGGAGAUAGCUGGUUCUCCCCGAAAGCUAUUUAGGUAGCGCCUCGUGAAUUCAUCUCCGGGGGUAGAGCACUGUUUCGGCAAGGGGGUCAUCCCGACUUACCAACCCGAUGCAAACUGCGAAUACCGGAGAAUGUUAUCACGGGAGACACACGGCGGGUGCUAACGUCCGUCGUGAAGAGGGAAACAACCCAGACCGCCAGCUAAGGUCCCAAAGUCAUGGUUAAGUGGGAAACGAUGUGGGAAGGCCCAGACAGCCAGGAUGUUGGCUUAGAAGCAGCCAUCAUUUAAAGAAAGCGUAAUAGCUCACUGGUCGAGUCGGCCUGCGCGGAAGAUGUAACGGGGCUAAACCAUGCACCGAAGCUGCGGCAGCGACGCUGAUGCGUUGUUGGGUAGGGGAGCGUUCUGUAAGCCUGCGAAGGUGUGCUGUGAGGCAUGCUGGAGGUAUCAGAAGUGCGAAUGCUGACAUAAGUAACGAUAAAGCGGGUGAAAAGCCCGCUCGCCGGAAGACCAAGGGUUCCUGUCCAACGUUAAUCGGGGCAGGGUGAGUCGACCCCUAAGGCGAGGCCGAAAGGCGUAGUCGAUGGGAAACAGGUUAAUAUUCCUGUACUUGGUGUUACUGCGAAGGGGGGACGGAGAAGGCUAUGUUGGCCGGGCGACGGUUGUCCCGGUUUAAGCGUGUAGGCUGGUUUUCCAGGCAAAUCCGGAAAAUCAAGGCUGAGGCGUGAUGACGAGGCACUACGGUGCUGAAGCAACAAAUGCCCUGCUUCCAGGAAAAGCCUCUAAGCAUCAGGUAACAUCAAAUCGUACCCCAAACCGACACAGGUGGUCAGGUAGAGAAUACCAAGGCGCUUGAGAGAACUCGGGUGAAGGAACUAGGCAAAAUGGUGCCGUAACUUCGGGAGAAGGCACGCUGAUAUGUAGGUGAGGUCCCUCGCGGAUGGAGCUGAAAUCAGUCGAAGAUACCAGCUGGCUGCAACUGUUUAUUAAAAACACAGCACUGUGCAAACACGAAAGUGGACGUAUACGGUGUGACGCCUGCCCGGUGCCGGAAGGUUAAUUGAUGGGGUUAGCGCAAGCGAAGCUCUUGAUCGAAGCCCCGGUAAACGGCGGCCGUAACUAUAACGGUCCUAAGGUAGCGAAAUUCCUUGUCGGGUAAGUUCCGACCUGCACGAAUGGCGUAAUGAUGGCCAGGCUGUCUCCACCCGAGACUCAGUGAAAUUGAACUCGCUGUGAAGAUGCAGUGUACCCGCGGCAAGACGGAAAGACCCCGUGAACCUUUACUAUAGCUUGACACUGAACAUUGAGCCUUGAUGUGUAGGAUAGGUGGGAGGCUUAGAAGUGUGGACGCCAGUCUGCAUGGAGCCGACCUUGAAAUACCACCCUUUAAUGUUUGAUGUUCUAACGUUGACCCGUAAUCCGGGUUGCGGACAGUGUCUGGUGGGUAGUUUGACUGGGGCGGUCUCCUCCUAAAGAGUAACGGAGGAGCACGAAGGUUGGCUAAUCCUGGUCGGACAUCAGGAGGUUAGUGCAAUGGCAUAAGCCAGCUUGACUGCGAGCGUGACGGCGCGAGCAGGUGCGAAAGCAGGUCAUAGUGAUCCGGUGGUUCUGAAUGGAAGGGCCAUCGCUCAACGGAUAAAAGGUACUCCGGGGAUAACAGGCUGAUACCGCCCAAGAGUUCAUAUCGACGGCGGUGUUUGGCACCUCGAUGUCGGCUCAUCACAUCCUGGGGCUGAAGUAGGUCCCAAGGGUAUGGCUGUUCGCCAUUUAAAGUGGUACGCGAGCUGGGUUUAGAACGUCGUGAGACAGUUCGGUCCCUAUCUGCCGUGGGCGCUGGAGAACUGAGGGGGGCUGCUCCUAGUACGAGAGGACCGGAGUGGACGCAUCACUGGUGUUCGGGUUGUCAUGCCAAUGGCACUGCCCGGUAGCUAAAUGCGGAAGAGAUAAGUGCUGAAAGCAUCUAAGCACGAAACUUGCCCCGAGAUGAGUUCUCCCUGACUCCUUGAGAGUCCUGAAGGAACGUUGAAGACGACGACGUUGAUAGGCCGGGUGUGUAAGCGCAGCGAUGCGUUGAGCUAACCGGUACUAAUGAACCGUGAGGCUUAACCUU